Molecule: non-coding RNA, 22 nt
Filed under: Arabidopsis thaliana (thale cress)
Lineage: Eukaryota; Viridiplantae; Streptophyta; Magnoliopsida; Brassicales; Brassicaceae
Source: RNAcentral
GCGGCGGGUAGAAUCCUUUGCA